UGAGGAAUAUUGGUCAAUGGGCGGGAGCCUGAACCAGCCAAGUCGCGUGAAGGAAGAAGGAUCUAUGGUUCGUAAACUUCUUUUGCAGGGGAAUAAAGUGCAGGACGUGUCCUGUUUUGUAUGUACCCUGAGAAUAAGGAUCGGCUAACCCCGUGCCAGCAGCCGCGGUAAUACGGAGGAUCCGAGCGUUAUCCGGAUUUAUUGGGUUUAAAGGGUGCGCAGGCGGGAUUUUAAGUCAGCGGUGAAAUUUUCAGGCUCAACCUGAACACUGCCGUUGAAACUGGGAUUCUUGAGUAUGGAUGAAGUAGGCGGAAUUCGUUGUGUAGCGGUGACAUGCUUAGAUAUAACGAAGAACUCCGAUUGCGUAGGCAGCUUACUAAGCCAUAACUGACGCUCAAGC
This 400-nucleotide ribosomal RNA is filed under the name uncultured bacterium. Its description in RNAcentral is "bacterial SSU rRNA". It matches the Rfam family "Bacterial small subunit ribosomal RNA", at positions 355 to 752 of the family's 1533-position model. The record is from RNAcentral.